Molecule: long non-coding RNA, 691 nt
Filed under: Anser brachyrhynchus (Pink-footed goose)
Lineage: Eukaryota; Metazoa; Chordata; Aves; Anseriformes; Anatidae
Description: lncRNA (ENSABRG00000003884.1)
Source: RNAcentral
CCUAAUUGCAGUAAAAUGAGCUGUCCCUUUAAAAGGGGGAAAAAAAACAUCCUUUCUACUUUGCAGUUCAAGUCAUUACUGCCAAAAGGAGCUUCCAAUCCUAACCUGCUGUGCCACAGAGUCAUUCCAUGAGGGAUUCAGCGGGUAUUUUGUUUGCUUACGAUUUUGUUACCUUUAGUUAGUAUUUCUGGGAUUAGGAUGACAAUUUUCACAGGAUUUUAAAGCAAGAUUAUCAAGCCUAUCUACUCAAAGUCUUUCACUAAGUGGUUAUUAAGACCUGGCAAUAGCCUCCAGUUUUAUAUAGGCUUUGAAGAUAAUCAUCUUUGUCAAGAGAAGUUGGACCGGGUGUAUCAUGGUGUGCUUAAAAUGAGAGGUGACCUUUAGAUGGUGAGACUGAACAAAAGCGUUGUAUGUGGAGAAGCUCAGCUGUGGUGGUGAGCCUUGAGGAGCAGCUCAGCCAGGAGGACAACAGCGAGCUGCAGGUUCAGCAUUUUUUUUUCUCCUUCCUUCAGUCUCUUCCAAUGUGUCUGUUAGCCCCUGCCCUGUCUCUUGGAAACAUGUUCUUCAUAUAGCCCCUGCUCUCUCAUGCUGCACUGAGUCCGCUGUCAGAUGAUUUUUCCUCUCCUACCACCAUGAACAGUUCUGGGACAGCUUAAAUAAAAUAGUAAUGAAGGCAAAUCCCUGAUAUGAA